GCACAGAUAUUAUUUUCAUUGAGACAUUAAACCUGUUAUGCAGCAUCCAAGCUGUUGGUACCCAAAGAGGAAAGGACAUUUGUGACUGAGCUUAACUGAACUUAUUGCUUGACAAGGUACGCUAUGAUGGUACAUCAGAAUAAGAAAAAUCACAGUUCAGUAGAGACUUGUGAUUGUUAACACAAAGUAAAAAAAGUAAAAAGUAAAAAAUAAAUUUAAAAAAAGCCUCAAAUUUGAGUUUCUUGAUGCUGAUCUCUAUUUCUUGGGCUCUUAAUAAACUUUACAGGCUUACAUUAACAAGUGCUGACAUUACUAGAUUGUUUUCAAACAGAUAUAUUAUUUAUAACUCAGGUCUCUUAUAUCUUUAAGACUCUUUACUGCCCCUUCAAUUUGCAUGAUAUGAAGUAAAAAAGAGAUUAGCAAAGGUAGAAGAAGUGUUUUAACAAGCUUUGAUAAGAGAUAGUAAAAUAAAUGCUUUGGUAAUCUUAGCUUUUCUUUAGUUUGAGUUCUCAGACUCUUCAAGUUGAAAGAUGGGUUGGAAAAGGGAACUUAAUGGAACAGAAGGGGUUAUAAACUUCUUUGGGGCUAUUAGACCCAUUACACUAUCCUUAUCAGUUUUUUCAUGAAAUAACCUUUAUUUGCUCUUAGUUACCUACAUGGCCUCUUGUUGAGAAGCAGAGCGGUAAAAGACAGACUCAGUAACAUCUCCUGCCUUUCUAAGGAAGAGAAGUGAACAGAAAAUUAUGGAUAAAGAUCUAUUAUUCACUGCAUUAUCAAGCGGCCUGUUAGGCAGUGCUGUAGUUCCUGCCUGCAGCAAGCCUGGGAAGCUACUGGUCCAACAUGCAAGGAUCUCACCUUUGCUAACGCUUUCAGGCCAGCUGCUUUUUGUGCUUUAUGGUGCAUCUCACUGCUUUGUUAGUCAUUCCUGCACCCCCUUCAGUUCUUUUGUGCAGUGUGUUCUAAUAUAUAUCUAAUGUUUGAAGACAGUUUUUAAAACCUGCUUUUUUUUUCUUUUUUUUUUUUUUUUUCUUUCUUCCAAUUGAAUCCCCAGAAAUAUAGUGCAGAGGGAACCCAAGAUUUAGUACACUCCCUUCAAAGAUCUCUAAAUCACUACUUUUAUUUUACUCCUUAAUUCUUCCUUUCCUUCUGAGAAUAAAGCUUGCCCAUCUAUUUAACUUUGAAGACCA
RNAcentral lists this long non-coding RNA (1187 nucleotides) under Coturnix japonica (Japanese quail). RNAcentral's name for it is "lncRNA (ENSCJPG00005007742.1)". The record is from RNAcentral. Lineage: Eukaryota; Metazoa; Chordata; Aves; Galliformes; Phasianidae.